RNAcentral lists this long non-coding RNA (334 nucleotides) under Rattus norvegicus (Norway rat). Its description in RNAcentral is "long non-coding RNA NONRATT018922". The record is from RNAcentral. Lineage: Eukaryota; Metazoa; Chordata; Mammalia; Rodentia; Muridae.
GUUUAAAUCAGAGCCCCGUGGAGCCUGCAGGAACAUGCUAACUAAAAAGUUGCGAGAAGAAAAGAAACUCGCGGUGUGAUUGGAGAGCAGAGACGCACAGGUCUAAAUUGAAACCACCCAUGUCUACCAAGGUCUUCUCGGGAUGGAAUCUGCAAAUAAUUUCCAAGGCUCGCUAUUGGCUGGGACGGUCAGACAAAGCAUCACCGGACCUUUCCUUCCCAGCUGCCCACGGGGCUGCAACUCACACAAGGACGUGGCUUUACCUCGUUGCUUUCUGCCACCCGUAUGAUCUACUUUCUCCUGUGAGCUGUAAUAAACCUAUCUUUCAAUCAAA